Molecule: ribosomal RNA, 1159 nt
Filed under: Staphylococcus aureus
Lineage: Bacteria; Bacillati; Bacillota; Bacilli; Caryophanales; Staphylococcaceae
Description: partial 23S ribosomal RNA
Rfam family: Bacterial large subunit ribosomal RNA
Source: RNAcentral
UAAGGGCGCACGGUGGAUGCCUUGGCACUAGAAGCCGAUGAAGGACGUUACUAACGACGAUAUGCUUUGGGGAGCUGUAAGUAAGCUUUGAUCCAGAGAUUUCCGAAUGGGGAAACCCAGCAUGAGUUAUGUCAUGUUAUCGAUAUGUGAAUACAUAGCAUAUCAGAAGGCACACCCGGAGAACUGAAACAUCUUAGUACCCGGAGGAAGAGAAAGAAAAUUCGAUUCCCUUAGUAGCGGCGAGCGAAACGGGAAGAGCCCAAACCAACAAGCUUGCUUGUUGGGGUUGUAGGACACUCUAUACGGAGUUACAAAGGACGACAUUAGACGAAUCAUCUGGAAAGAUGAAUCAAAGAAGGUAAUAAUCCUGUAGUCGAAAAUGUUGUCUCUCUUGAGUGGAUCCUGAGUACGACGGAGCACGUGAAAUUCCGUCGGAAUCUGGGAGGACCAUCUCCUAAGGCUAAAUACUCUCUAGUGACCGAUAGUGAACCAGUACCGUGAGGGAAAGGUGAAAAGCACCCCGGAAGGGGAGUGAAAUAGAACCUGAAACCGUGUGCUUACAAGUAGUCAGAGCCCGUUAAUGGGUGAUGGCGUGCCUUUUGUAGAAUGAACCGGCGAGUUACGAUUUGAUGCAAGGUUAAGCAGUAAAUGUGGAGCCGUAGCGAAAGCGAGUCUGAAUAGGGCGUUUAGUAUUUGGUCGUAGACCCGAAACCAGGUGAUCUACCCUUGGUCAGGUUGAAGUUCAGGUAACACUGAAUGGAGGACCGAACCGACUUACGUUGAAAAGUGAGCGGAUGAACUGAGGGUAGCGGAGAAAUUCCAAUCGAACCUGGAGAUAGCUGGUUCUCUCCGAAAUAGCUUUAGGGCUAGCCUCAAGUGAUGAUUAUUGGAGGUAGAGCACUGUUUGGACGAGGGGCCCCUCUCGGGUUACCGAAUUCAGACAAACUCCGAAUGCCAAUUAAUUUAACUUGGGAGUCAGAACAUGGGUGAUAAGGUCCGUGUUCGAAAGGGAAACAGCCCAGACCACCAGCUAAGGUCCCAAAAUAUAUGUUAAGUGGAAAAGGAUGUGGCGUUGCCCAGACAACUAGGAUGUUGGCUUAGAAGCAGCCAUCAUUUAAAGAGUGCGUAAUAGCUCACUAGUCGAGUGACACUGCGCCGA